RNAcentral lists this unclassified non-coding RNA (345 nucleotides) under soil metagenome. RNAcentral's name for it is "partial contains 5.8S ribosomal RNA, internal transcribed spacer 2, and large subunit ribosomal RNA". The stretch from base 1 to 120 matches the Rfam family "5.8S ribosomal RNA", at positions 35 to 154 of the family's 154-position model. The record is from RNAcentral.
GAUGAAGAACGCAGCGAAAUGCGAUACGUAAUGUGAAUUGCAGAAUUCAGUGAAUCAUCGAGUCUUUGAACGCACAUUGCGCCCCCUGGUAUUCCGGGGGGCAUGCCUGUCCGAGCGUCAUUGCUGCCCUCAAGCACGGCUUGUGUGUUGGGCCUCCGUCCUCCUCCCGGGGGACGGGCCCGAAAGGCAGCGGCGGCACCGCGUCCGGUCCUCGAGCGUAUGGGGCUUUGUCACCCGCUCUGUAGGCCCGGCCGGCGCUUGCCGAUCAACCCAAAUUUUUAUCCAGGUUGACCUCGGAUCAGGUAGGGAUACCCGCUGAACUUAAGCAUAUCAAUAAGCGGAGGA